GUUUGUUAAAAUAUUGCAAAUAGAGGCCAAACAGUACAUGAGCUACUGUAUUGCAAAUUUCAACUCAUUGAUCAUAAAUUCAAUUUCAGUUCAUUUUAAUGAACAAUUUUAAACUCUAAGCUCAGCAGGGAAUAUUGUGAGCCAUUCGAGAUCAGUUUUAAAAAUAAAUAUUUUUAAGAAGUAUUACGGAAAAUAAUUAUUUUAUAUUUUAUAGAAAUAAUUAUACAAGAAACAGAUUAUAUUGGAAAUAAAUUUUGAACAUUAUAAGAUCACUAUUAAUGCACAUUAUUUAGAUAAAAAAAAUGUCAUUAUUAAAAAAAGUAAUGCCAAAAUUAUUUAAUUUCUGUUAGCCUGUUAAGC
This 360-nucleotide unclassified non-coding RNA is filed under the name Hevea brasiliensis (rubber tree). The record is from RNAcentral. Lineage: Eukaryota; Viridiplantae; Streptophyta; Magnoliopsida; Malpighiales; Euphorbiaceae.